UGGGGAAUCUUGCACAAUGGGCGAAAGCCUGAUGCAGCAACGCCGCGUGCGGGAAGAAGGCCCUCGGGUUGUAAACCGCUUUCAGAAGGAACGAAACUGACGGUACUUUCAGAAGAAGGUGCGGCCAACUACGUGCCAGCAGCCGCGGUGACACGUAGGCACCAAGCGUUGUCCGGAUUUAUUGGGCGUAAAGAGCUCGUAGGCGGUUCAGUAAGUCGGGUGUGAAAACUUUGGGCUUAACCCAAAGCGUGCAUCCGAUACUGCUGUGACUUGAGUACGGUAGGGGAGCGGGGAAUUCCUAGUGUAGCGGUGAAAUGCGCAGAUAUUAGGAGGAACACCGGUGGCGAAGGCGCCGCUCUGGGCCGAAACUGACGCUGAGGAGCGAAAGCAUGGGUAGCAAACAGGAUUAGAUACCCGGGUAGUCCCUGAGCGGGCUGGCAAGGCGCAU
This 448-nucleotide ribosomal RNA is filed under the name uncultured bacterium. Its description in RNAcentral is "bacterial SSU rRNA". It matches the Rfam family "Bacterial small subunit ribosomal RNA", at positions 355 to 825 of the family's 1533-position model. The record is from RNAcentral.